This 428-nucleotide ribosomal RNA is filed under the name uncultured bacterium. RNAcentral's name for it is "bacterial SSU rRNA". It matches the Rfam family "Bacterial small subunit ribosomal RNA", at positions 349 to 789 of the family's 1533-position model. The record is from RNAcentral.
CAACAGUGCNGAAUAUUGCACAAUGGGNGCAAGCCURAUGCAGCGACGCCGCGUGAGGGAUGACGGCCUUCGGGUUGUAAACCUCUUUCAGUAGGGAAGAAGCGAAAGUGACGGUACCUGCAGAACAAGCGCCGGCUAACUACGUGCCAGCAGCCGCGGUAAUACGUAGGGCGCAAGCGUUAUCCGGAAUUAUUGGGCGUAAAGAGCUCGUAGGCGGUUUGUCGCGUCUGCCGUGAAAGCCCGGGGCUCAACUCCGGAUCUGCGGUGGGUACGGGCAGACUAGAGUGAUGUAGGGGAGACUGGAAUUCCUGGUGUAGCGGUGAAAUGCGCAGAUAUCAGGAGGAACACCGAUGGCGAAGGCAGGUCUCUGGGCAUUAACUGACGCUGAGGAGCGAAAGCSUGCGGANCGAACAGGAUUCCAUGCCCGG